Long non-coding RNA from Hevea brasiliensis (rubber tree), 804 nucleotides. RefSeq lists it as uncharacterized. The record is from RefSeq and is a predicted model, not a curated record. The transcript is spliced from 2 exons. NCBI's taxonomy places the organism in Eukaryota, Viridiplantae, Streptophyta, Magnoliopsida, Malpighiales, Euphorbiaceae.
GGGGGUGCAAUAUUAAAAAGAGAGAAGAAAAAAAAAAUAUAAUUUUACUUGUUCUCAAAAUAACAUAGCAGAGCCAUUACCUAUUCACCUUCUUGUUUUGCGGGAGUCACUUCAAACCACCGACAUCGUUCUUCUCUUCUUUGGACAAAGACUCGCACCUGAAACCCAGCUUCUCCUAAAGUCUUGCUGUCAUCACAGCGUGUUUCAUCGAAACCAACAAAUUCGGUUAACACGCAGACCCAUUUACCCAGCAAACAAACCUAUUCUACUUUCUCUCGCUAUCCCUUUCUCUUUCAAUUCACAGCGCCAAUACAUCUCCUAUCAAUAACCUUGAGAGCCGAAUUUCUUUUGGAAUCAAUAUCUAGUCAUAUUUGUCCUCCAUUAAAUUUGGCCUCAAAAUGAAAAUUGGUAAUGUUCAAAUUCAUGAAAUGUUGUUGAAGUAUUGUACAAAAAAAUGGCAGCCUAUGUGUGUGGAAUAGUAGUGAUACGUAUGUAGUUUGAUGAUGGAAGUAUGUGUGAUAAUUAAAAGUAUUUAAGUGUAUAUAUUGUUGGGAUUGAACGUUGUGAAUUGUGACUACAUUUAGUGUAUUUUGAAGUGGUUAUAUUUUGUAGUUUUUGUUGUAAUAUAUGUGCACUGUAUGUAUAUAUUAUACUUGGUCUUGUGCAGUUGUGAACUAAAAUUAUAAAUUAUUUUGGCUUGUAAAAAUAUUGUGAUAUAUUUAUUUUAUCUCAGCUUUUGGAAACACUGAAAAAUUGAUUGUUGAACUGAGUUGAUAAUGUUGAGAAAUUUAUUGUGUUGAACAA